AUGGCACCAACCGAAACAACACAACCAGUGAGGGAGAAAUGUGUUGGAGGGACAUUCUUUAGUGAGAAAAGGACUAUGUGUUAUUUCUGCUCAGAUGUGAUUCAUUUUCAAGAAUCACCGCAAGAGUUUGUUGGUAGAUACACUAGUUUACACAUGUAUGUGUGUGAUCACUUGCAAGACUGCAACCAAGACUGCAAAAAGCUUAAGCUUAUAUCUACUGGUGAGUUUGAAGAUGUAACUAGUUUUCCAUUUCAUGCAGGUGCGUCUUACAAUUUCGAAAAGACUGAUAAUGGUAUUUUCCGGUUAAAGCUCACUGCAAAUGCGAAAAAAAUAAUAGCUGAUUUGAGAAGGCCUCUUGAGAUUUUGAUGAAAGGCAACACUAUAAACCACCCUGACCUGACAAUAAGUGCAGUUCAGCUACUUUUGUCCCAUGAUGGUGUACUAAUACAACUUGUCAUUUUGAAAGAAAGAUUGGAAAAUCUAUACUGCACUCGACGCACACCCGCGUCCCGGGAGGCAGCUGCCGCGCGAGGCUAG
Molecule: ribosomal RNA, 537 nt
Filed under: Triticum aestivum (bread wheat)
Lineage: Eukaryota; Viridiplantae; Streptophyta; Magnoliopsida; Poales; Poaceae
Description: partial small subunit ribosomal RNA
Source: RNAcentral